GGGUGAUUAGCUCAGCUGGUUAGAGCGCACGGUUCACAUCCGUGAGGUCACUGGUUCGAGUCCAGUAUCGCCCA
RNAcentral lists this transfer RNA (74 nucleotides) under Anaerolineae bacterium. RNAcentral describes it as "tRNA-Val". It matches the Rfam family "tRNA". From Rfam's summary of the family: Transfer RNA (tRNA) molecules are approximately 80 nucleotides in length. Their secondary structure includes four short double-helical elements and three loops (D, anti-codon, and T loops). Lineage: Bacteria; Bacillati; Chloroflexota; Anaerolineae. The record is from RNAcentral.